CAGGAAAGCUAGGAAGAGCUGGGGGAGGUUGUGGAGAGGUUGGCGAGCUGGAGACUGGCAGCAUCAUUGGUUUGAACAGGCCGUGAUUGAUUUGUCACUAGAGGCCCGUUUGACUGGGCGAAAAGCCCUUCUGAUCUCAAUCUCUCUCUGCCUCCCUAUCUCCUCUGUCCCUCUUUCUCUCUCCACACUUUGGAGCUGGCACUUGCAGGCUGGGCAAGGGGGCUUGGGUUGAGGCUGACACAGAUCUGAAGGGUCGGAGGUCACUGCUGCUGAAGCCCUAUAACGAGACGAGGGAAAUCCUGGCUCUUCGUACCUUCCACUUUCUCAGUGUCACCUUUCAGUGUUGCCUUUCACUUAGAGGUUUACAAUCUCCCAAAACACACACACAUACAGAUACAGAAACAACCCCCUCCACCACCACCACCACAGGCACAAAACUGCAUCGCCCCUCUCUCUCUGUUUCUCACACACACACACAUUCUCUUCACCACCCCCCCUUCACCUUCCCAUUAUCUCUGGCUGGGAGAAACCUCUAGAUCUACAAAUAUUAAUUGCAAAAGACAACGAAAGGGACCGGAGCUGAUUCCCUUCCCAGAACUGCUGCAGCUAUGCCUCAAACCACACACUUUCCUGAAGGAGCCACCAGCAUGGGCCUUUCCGAAAUCUCUCUUUAUUUCAUUCAUUAAGGGCAUUAGGCAAGUUGGAAUUUGUAUGAGGAGGAUCCUAUGGGAAUACAGUCUCCGGGGUAGGUAUUUUCAUGACUUUCCACAUCCUGAGGCUCUCUCUGUAUCUCUUUCUUUCUCUCUUCCCGGUUAGAUGGGGUUUGGAAGGGACUGCCCUCAGCUUCCAGCUAAUCCUGGGGAAAUGAAUUAUUUGGAGCUGCAAAUGUUGAGUGAGAAAAUUUAUUUCAGAGAAGUGGCAAUUACCCACUAAGGAAUUAACAGAUCUUUCUGGCUACUUUUGUUAAUGGGCAUUAUUAUUAUUACUAUUAUUAUUAUUCCUACCUGGUUUAAGGUUCUUUUCCACACAAGUGUUUUUAAUGACAAUUGCAUUCGUUAUCCAGAAAAAAAGAAGUAGCAAACUGGGCAAGAGCAAAAUAAUAUUAACCAAACAAAAGCAUACUUAUUAAGUGGGCUGUUGUAUUUGUAUAAAAGCAGGACAAUCACAAUACUCCAGCUCAUUUCACUUGGCAAAGGGACAUGGCAUCAAUUUUUUAACUUUAAAAUAGUUUAAUGAACAUGAAUGGAG
This 1248-nucleotide long non-coding RNA is filed under the name Gopherus agassizii (Agassiz's desert tortoise). RNAcentral's name for it is "lncRNA (ENSGAGG00000009223.1)". The record is from RNAcentral. Lineage: Eukaryota; Metazoa; Chordata; Testudines; Testudinidae.